Molecule: non-coding RNA, 24 nt
Filed under: Arabidopsis thaliana (thale cress)
Lineage: Eukaryota; Viridiplantae; Streptophyta; Magnoliopsida; Brassicales; Brassicaceae
Source: RNAcentral
AUGUCUGUACCGUGUACUUGUGCC